This 766-nucleotide ribosomal RNA is filed under the name Staphylococcus aureus. Its description in RNAcentral is "bacterial SSU rRNA". It matches the Rfam family "Bacterial small subunit ribosomal RNA", at positions 28 to 776 of the family's 1533-position model. The record is from RNAcentral. Lineage: Bacteria; Bacillati; Bacillota; Bacilli; Caryophanales; Staphylococcaceae.
GAUGAACGCUGGCGGCGUGCCUAAUACAUGCAAGUCGAGCGAACGGACGAGAAGCCUGCUUCUCUGAUGUUAGCGGCGGACGGGUGAGUAACACGUGGAUAACCUACCUAUAAGACUGGGAUAACUUCGGGAAACCGGAGCUAAUACCGGAUAAUAUUUUGAACCGCAUGGUUCAAAAGUGAAAGACGGUCUUGCUGUCACUUAUAGAUGGAUCCGCGCUGCAUUAGCUAGUUGGUAAGGUAACGGCUUACCAAGGCAACGAUGCAUAGCCGACCUGAGAGGGUGAUCGGCCACACUGGAACUGAGACACGGUCCAGACUCCUACGGGAGGCAGCAGUAGGGAAUCUUCCGCAAUGGGCGAAAGCCUGACGGAGCAACGCCGCGUGAGUGAUGAAGGUCUUCGGAUCGUAAAACUCUGUUAUUAGGGAAGAACAUAUGUGUAAGUAACUGUGCACAUCUUGACGGUACCUAAUCAGAAAGCCACGGCUAACUACGUGCCAGCAGCCGCGGUAAUACGUAGGUGGCAAGCGUUAUCCGGAAUUAUUGGGCGUAAAGCGCGCGUAGGCGGUUUUUUAAGUCUGAUGUGAAAGCCCACGGCUCAACCGUGGAGGGUCAUUGGAAACUGGAAAACUUGAGUGCAGAAGAGGAAAGUGGAAUUCCAUGUGUAGCGGUGAAAUGCGCAGAGAUAUGGAGGAACACCAGUGGCGAAGGCGACUUUCUGGUCUGUAACUGACGCUGAUGUGCGAAAGCGUGGGGAUCAAACAGG